This 443-nucleotide ribosomal RNA is filed under the name Mycolicibacterium sp. RNAcentral describes it as "bacterial SSU rRNA". It matches the Rfam family "Bacterial small subunit ribosomal RNA", at positions 48 to 510 of the family's 1533-position model. The record is from RNAcentral. Lineage: Bacteria; Bacillati; Actinomycetota; Actinomycetes; Mycobacteriales; Mycobacteriaceae.
CUUACACAUGCAAGUCGAACGGAAAGGCCCUUCGGGGUACUCGAGUGGCGAACGGGUGAGUAACACGUGGGUGAUCUGCCCUGCACUUUGGGAUAAGCCUGGGAAACUGGGUCUAAUACCGAAUACACCUCGCUGGCCGCAUGGUCUGGUGGGGGAAAGCUUUUGCGGUGUGGGAUGGGCCCGCGGCCUAUCAGCUUGUUGGUGGGGUGAUGGCCUACCAAGGCGACGACGGGUAGCCGGCCUGAGAGGGUGACCGGCCACACUGGGACUGAGAUACGGCCCAGACUCCUACGGGAGGCAGCAGUGGGGAAUAUUGCACAAUGGGCGCAAGCCUGAUGCAGCGACGCCGCGUGGGGGAUGACGGCCUUCGGGUUGUAAACCCCUUUCAGCACAGACAAGCGCAGUGACGGUAUGUGCAGAAAAGGACCGGCCAACUACUGCCA